Phymastichus coffea is the source of this 475-nucleotide long non-coding RNA. RefSeq lists it as uncharacterized. NCBI's taxonomy places the organism in Eukaryota, Metazoa, Arthropoda, Insecta, Hymenoptera, Eulophidae. The record is from RefSeq and is a predicted model, not a curated record. The transcript has 3 exons.
GUUGAUUUGUGUUGUGAUACUACUACUAAUGCUGGUAUUAUGCUGGUUCUCACUCCUGCUGAUGUUACUGAUGUGCUGUGCUGUGUUACUUCUGGUGCUCGCUUCUAAGUGAUUAGAGCCAUCUUGGAGGAGAUGACGUAUCAUCCUCCUCCUAUAAUCGACCUCUAGGCUUAAUUUUCGAUCCACAGUAUGAGAAUCAAAAAAUUGAGUCUUCUAUGCUACAAUGUAUAGGAGGCUCAAUUGUCGAUUCACAUACUGUGGAUCUUCGACAAUACGAGGUGUAUUGCCGAGAUAAAAUUGAUAUGCCGCUACCACCUUUUGCAGUUUCUUCUCUUCCUAAAUUAAUAAAUUUAGGGAGAGUGAAGUAAAAGUUACUUCAAGAACAGCAGUUGGUAGAGAAAGAGAAAAAUAUAUGCUACAAUUUCCUCUGCACGUUGCGUUUAAGCAGCAUGUUGAAGAAGUUGGAGUGGUCCGA